CCUACGGCGGCUGCAGUGGGGAAUAUUGGACAAUGGGGGCAACCCUGAUCCAGCCAUGCCGCGUGUGUGAAGAAGGCCCUCGGGUUGUAAAGCACUUUCAGUGAGGAAGAACGCCUGGUGGUUAAUACCCAUCAGGAAAGACAUCACUCACAGAAGAAGCACCGGCUAACUCCGUGCCAGCAGCCGCGGUAAUACGGAGGGUGCGAGCGUUAAUCGGAAUUACUGGGCGUAAAGCGCGCGUAGGUGGCUUGAUAAGCCGGUUGUGAAAGCCCCGGGCUCAACCUGGGAACGGCAUCCGGAACUGUCGAGCUAGAGUGCAGGAGAGGAAGGUAGAAUUCCCGGUGUAGCGGUGAAAUGCGUAGAGAUCGGGAGGAAUACCAGUGGCGAAGGCGGCCUUCUGGACUGACACUGACACUGAGGUGCGAAAGCGUGGGUAGCAAACAGGAUUAGAUACCCUAGUAGUC
Molecule: ribosomal RNA, 464 nt
Filed under: Vreelandella stevensii
Lineage: Bacteria; Pseudomonadati; Pseudomonadota; Gammaproteobacteria; Oceanospirillales; Halomonadaceae
Description: partial 16S ribosomal RNA
Rfam family: Bacterial small subunit ribosomal RNA
Source: RNAcentral